Molecule: ribosomal RNA, 497 nt
Filed under: uncultured bacterium
Lineage: Bacteria
Description: partial 16S ribosomal RNA
Rfam family: Bacterial small subunit ribosomal RNA
Source: RNAcentral
GAUGAACGCUGGCGGCGUGCCUAAUACAUGCAAGUCGAGCGAACAGACGAGGAGCUUUCUCCUCUGACGUUAGCGACGGACGGGUGAGUAACACGUAGAUAACCUACCUCUAAGACUGAGAUAACUUCGGGAAACCGUAGCUAAUACCGGAUAAUAUCUUGAACCGCAUGGUUCAGUAGAGAAAGACGGUUUUGCUGUCACUUAUAGAUGGAUCCGCGCGGCAUUGGCUAGUUGGUAAGGUAACGGGCUACCAAGGAAACGAAGCGUAGGCGACCUGAGCGGGGGGUCGCCGACAUGGGAAGGUAGACAGGGACAAUACUCCUAAGGGAGGCAGCAGAAGGGAACCGGCGGCAGUGGGCGAAAGUAUGACGGAGUAAGGGCGCGUGUGUGAUGAAGGUGUUGGGAGCGUAAUACUGUGUUACUAGUUAAGAACAACUGUGUAUGGAAAAAUGGAGGUAGUGACGGUACCUACUGAGAAAGCACCGGCUAACUACGUG